CCUAUUUUCUAGAUUACAACUAGAACUACUAGAACUAGAACUAGAUGAACUAGAACUAGAACUAGAUGAACUAGAACUAGAACUAGAUGAACUAGAGGGAUCCUCUCUACUUGGAUGAAUAAUUGAAACCCUAGCUUUGAUUCUGUAGAAAAGGUAUGUUCUCCAGGGGCCAGGGGGCCUGCUUAUAUAGCCCUUCCAAAUGAACAUGGGCCGUCGGAUCAAACCGACCUUAAUCGCCGCGAGACCUGCCCUGAUUGGUCACCAGGGCAGGGCGGGCGCCCAAGGGGGGAGGGCGGGCGCCCAGCCCCCGGGCCCGCUCGACCUCCCGUUCGUUCCCAUGGCUUCUGGAGUCUUCUAGAAUAUAGAAAAUUGGCGCACACAUUAAUAUCUCUAUGUAAACCCGACGUGUGGGCCUUUCCUCCAUGUUUCCUGAUAACCCCCUGCAGAAAUAGACAAACACCAAAACUUGUGGAAUUCUAUCACAUGAAACCCAAAUUCUGGAUGUUAGUUGCGUAUAGGUCCUCUUUCAUGAUUAGUUGACGGUUAAAUGUGAGCAUUAAGGACCGUCAACAAGCUCCCCCAAGCUUACCUCUUGCUCGUCCCUGAGCAAGGAUGGACUCAAGAGUUUCUGCAGUGGUUUCAUGCCUUAAAGGUACACAUAUGCUCAAACAAGAUCUCAUCUCUAGGUUAGGGUAAACUGUUAAGAUUUAAACUUACUCAUUUUACCUUCGACCAUGGGGCUUGCAACCGUAACUUGUGUCUUGAGCAGUUAAAAGAUAGAACGGUCUAGUCAAGCGCCAUGUCUCUUGUUCUUCGAUUAACUAUAGCUCUGGAGUUUUUGUAGAUUUUCAAAUAAAACUCAGAGAUUCCUUGUAUGACUCUCUCUAGUCUCUCUUUUGUGGUAUUUCUAGAUCCUUACCAAGGCAGUAAUGGUGUAUGCCUUCUCUCAAAGUAUGUGGUAUUUUUGGUAUGAGGCAUAGUGGCAUUACCUUCUCUCUCACCCUACUCUAAUAAGGUUUUGAUAUCUUGGAGCUCAUAGGUGAGAGACAGCUAAUACAUACUUACAAGACAUUUAUUGCAUAGUCAAACCAUGGAUCCACAAGAACAAGUCAAUAAGUCAAAUCAAGAUGUGCAUGUGUGGCGAAUGAAUGGUGAUAAUGGUGAAAAUAAUGGUAAAAGUCUAAUUCUACUUUUGCUCUUUUGAGGGGGUACAUACCUUCCUUGCACUUGAGGCUUUUGAGGGGAAUGAGAUGCUCUAUAUUUUAUUUUUCUUUUCUCUCAGGUGGGUAUCUUGUACCCCUAAUUCUACUGUCACACACUUGUCCAUUUUUACCUCUCGUCUCACUUUUUCUUCUCUCCUUUUUUCUCUUUUUUUUCUUCCGAGGUUUCGGGCACUUGUCCCUUGUUAUUUCCUCGUAUUCACUUUUUUUUAGAGCACUCACCCUCCUGGAAUAAUGUAGCAAGUGGUAGUAACCAAAAUAUCUUGAGCAUUUAUUUCAUGGGGAAUAACACGGAUAGGAUAAUGUUUUUGGCUAUUCUCUCCUAGAUAGGAGUAGAAUAAUUUUAGGUGAAUCUGGAUAUGGAAAUGAGUGGAUGUAUGUGGAUGCGUACUUUCGGAGUAGAAGCAGCAUGUAUGAGUGAACGUGCAAGUGAAUCUUGAUUUUAACCACAUGACAAGCUCCUAAGGGUCUACACAGCUUGACCACACUCAAUGCUCAUAAGCAGUAAAAAGUAAAUGUAUGGUUCAUAGUCUAAUAAGCAUGUAUAUAUGGCUGUGGUAGGAUUUUAAACUCUCAUCAUACAGGAACUCAUUAUGCAACAUUUUAAAGAUUUUCAAAGAUAAAAUUCUCCAGAAUUCUAGCAUCUCUAGGAACAGAUAAACAGAAGCUCAACCUUCCCAUAUCGUAUCCGUUAACGACUUAGACUUUAGAUCAAGUACUCUUCCCACAAGUUCAGGUUUAGAGCAAAUCUUAAUUAAUAACAGUCAUGCCUAAACUUGAGAGAGAUUUCAAUUUUGAGAACUAGUCAUGGCAGAGCAACUAUUCAUCAUUUCCAUGUGAGAGCUUAUCAUGAGGGUUCAUAGCAAACUUUAUUUAUUUAUUUAUUUAUUUAGCAAACUAAGCAAAGAUAUAUAUAUAAGCACAAAAUCUUUAUUUGGGUUUUUAUGAUUAUGCAUCUUUUUAUUAUUUGAGUAAAGUAUAAACGUGAGUAGAACACUUAGCUGGAUAAAUGUGGGUGCUCUCCCCCAAGCUGGAUUUUGAUGUAAUUUCUUCUGAUCUUGCUAGCAGGUGGCGGAGGUGUAUUUGAAUGUCGGCAGCACCCUGACAGCGAUUAGGAUGUCCUCCGUCUGCUAGUGUUCUUUGAUCCUUGAAUUUUGUGGAGCUCAAAUAGACAACAAAGCUUUGUGGAGCUGGGUAAGUGUUAGCAUAAAAUCUCUUAGUCGUUAUCAUGUUGAACUUCCUCUUAGAGAGUAACAUUUAUUGAGGAGGCUCGCCCUCCCCCCUUGGGCGCCCACCCUGCUACAGGAGCCAAUCAGGCUCCGCCUCGCGGAUUAUGCUCCACCGACCUAAAGGAUUAAGGUCAGUUUUAUCCGACGGCCCACAUUUAUUUGGAGGGGCUAUAUAAGCAGGACCCCUGGCCCCUGGAGAACAUACCUCUUCUACAGAAUCAAAGCUAGGGUUUCAAUUAUUCAUCCAAGUAGAGAGGAUCCCUCUAGUUCAUCUAGUUCUAGUUUUAGUUCAUCUAGUUCUAGUUCUAGUUAGUUCUAGUUGUAAUCUAGAAAAUAGGGAGAGACAAGAGGAGAGAGGAGGAGGAGCCGGAUCUGUCGGAUCUUCCUCAACAUUAUACUUUUGUAGCAACUGGUUUGUUCUUCAUCGUUCUCCAAGUUCUUCAGUUCAUAAUUCCUAAGUUCUUUAAUUACUUUUAUUUACAUUCA
This 2935-nucleotide long non-coding RNA is filed under the name Sorghum bicolor (sorghum). Its description in RNAcentral is "long non-coding RNA (SBIC_LNC006401)". The record is from RNAcentral. Lineage: Eukaryota; Viridiplantae; Streptophyta; Magnoliopsida; Poales; Poaceae.